This 190-nucleotide non-coding RNA is filed under the name Bacillaceae bacterium SAS-127. Its description in RNAcentral is "6S / SsrS RNA". It matches the Rfam family "6S / SsrS RNA". Rfam says of the family: E. coli 6S RNA was the first non coding RNA to be sequenced, but its function was unknown until recently. It consists of 184 nucleotides that fold into an extended hairpin structure with a large single-stranded internal bulge. Lineage: Bacteria; Bacillati; Bacillota; Bacilli; Caryophanales; Bacillaceae. The record is from Rfam by way of RNAcentral.
UAAGUCCUGAUGUGUUCGUUUCAUUUACUAUCUGUUUUGACCGAACAAUAUAUGUUUAGGGAGUCCGGGUUUGUAAGCAGCGUACAUGCCUCCAUGGCUUGAGGACGUAUAACACUUACUACAGGACACCCACCUGCGAAGAGCGGGUUCAAAACAUAUAGAUCCAUAGGACGGCACGAUUGGGACUUAC